CACGUAGGGUGCGAGCGUUGUCCGGAAUUAUUGGGCGUAAAGAGCUCGUAGGCGGUGUGUCGCGUCGGCCGUGAAAACCUGCAGCUUAACUGUGGGCUUGCGGUCGAUACGGGCAUCACUGGAGUUCGGCAGGGGAGACUGGAAUUCCUGGUGUAGCGGUGAAAUGCGCAGAUAUCAGGAGGAAUACCGGUGGUGCAGACGGCUCUCUGGACCGCAACUGACGCUGAGACACGAAAGCGUGGGUAGCAAACAGG
This 254-nucleotide ribosomal RNA is filed under the name uncultured bacterium. Its description in RNAcentral is "partial 16S ribosomal RNA". It matches the Rfam family "Bacterial small subunit ribosomal RNA", at positions 524 to 776 of the family's 1533-position model. The record is from RNAcentral.